GGACAGGUGGCAGAGUGGUCGAAUGCGCUGGACUCGAAAUCCAGUUUACGUUUAGGCGUAACGUGAGUUCGAAUCUCACCCUGUCCGCCA
This 90-nucleotide transfer RNA is filed under the name Alcaligenaceae bacterium. RNAcentral's name for it is "tRNA-Ser". It matches the Rfam family "tRNA". Rfam says of the family: Transfer RNA (tRNA) molecules are approximately 80 nucleotides in length. Their secondary structure includes four short double-helical elements and three loops (D, anti-codon, and T loops). Lineage: Bacteria; Pseudomonadati; Pseudomonadota; Betaproteobacteria; Burkholderiales; Alcaligenaceae. The record is from RNAcentral.